This 22129-nucleotide long non-coding RNA is filed under the name Triticum aestivum (bread wheat). RNAcentral describes it as "long non-coding RNA (TAES_LNC012348)". Lineage: Eukaryota; Viridiplantae; Streptophyta; Magnoliopsida; Poales; Poaceae. The record is from RNAcentral.
GCGUCGCUGGCUAGUUACAGGGCAUUACUUAUCCGGUGUGAUUGGCUCGUCGCGUCACGCCGUCACGGUCUGUCGCCACAUAGCUACGGACGGUACUAUACUGCUGAAUUAAUGUUUAAAAAAAUAGGCAGUGUGAAAGGGUGUGAACGCUUGUGAACGGAAUCUUGGGAUGGGACCGAUGUCCUGUUGUUUGUGUCCUGUGGAUAUGGUUUUAUUAUGCGUACACGACUGACUUGCUAGGCGGUGCACUCGUAUGGAUGGAGUACUGCUCCUUUGUUUCGUUGUAACUAGCCUCCUAGGUGCAGUGAGCAUAUUAUCAUAAACAUCCCUCACGAUAGCGAACUUGAAGAAGAAGCUGUUUCGACAUCUACUUUAUCCCAAGUGCAAUAAUGCACCAUUCUGGGGCUGACGCCUCAAUAAAGCUCCCUAAAUUAACCCCAUGGUAACUAUAAUCAGUGAGCGUUCGCUAGGAAGGAUGACAAGUGCGAACAUCUUGAUGCAACUUUAGUUGUCACGAGGAUGGGCAAGGAUGACAAUUUUAGCUUGUAAGCAUGAUAAUUUCCUCGGAAAAAAUAAAACUGCAGCAAAGCUGCGACGCUCGCUAACUAAAACUGCCUUGAAAGUCGUUCGCGAUGUCAUCCCUUACUAUUACUAUUGGGUAAAACAAUAUCCUACUCCAGUUUCACGUCUCUCUUGUCUUGCCCGUGAUGUUUGUCUGUGUCCUCCAUGUUGCAAUCAAUCCCGUUUUAUUAAUUCGCUGGAAUCAAUGGAGCCAGCGAGCUAGGUCGCUGUCAGCUUCAUCUUCCCGUGCAUCCUUUGCCUGCUGAGAAAGGUUCCGUUGCGCUGUUUAUUUGUUCCCCUUGUUUCAUUGUCUGUACGCUGAGACUGGCUGUUUAGAAACUGUGCUCAGAGGUAUCUUAAUCGUCCUCGGCGCUGGCUCGUCUGACGGUAUUAGGUGGAAACUCGCGACUGUCGACGCCGGCGACACGAGUCCCUGGGUGCUAAUCAUGCCAGCAGGUGGAGUGGUUGUGGACUCUCCGGUGUUCACCCGAUGAGGCGAGCCAAAGUAACAGUAGAUCAUUUUCUUGGCGGAAAAUGGUACGGAGUAGAUCUUUUAAGAGAACUGCAGAUUCCAUCGCUCUAAUACGAUAGUACAGUCCAUGUGCAUAGGUCUGUCCUGAACUCGUCGUUCAUUUGAACAUGCUUUGCGCAUACCCCUUUCAUUUCAAAAUAUAUCGUGUUUUUUGACACAAUAAUAGUGUAAAAAAAGUCUUAUAUUUUGACACGCAUGGAGUAUUUCGGUAUUCACGCCCCCGUGGUGCCAGGAGGGUUAGAACAUCUUUAACCGAUCCCCUAUAAAGUUUUAGAAGACCGGAUUUUCUUCUUUAAACCGCACCUAGUCGAACUCGUAGGCGUGCCUCCACGGCGCAAAAGCGCGACUGAACUUCCCCUUCGGCACCCCCGCUUUCCCAAGUAAACAACGUUGCAUGGCUUUUUUGGAAGAAUAAGCAGUCAACUGUGAAAGUUGUUGGAGAGCUCCUCGAAAUUCACGAAGCCUUGACAGCCUGACAUCUUCCACGACAAUGACUAGAUCUUUUGACUCACAACUCCAAAUAAUGUGAGGUUUUUUUGUGUUGGAAAUUAAAUUUGAUGUAGCUUCUGGUAUACCCUGCGGCCCUGUCUCUCCAAAUGGGUGUGACACAACAAAACACCAGAGAUAAAAACUGACAGCAUCAACUUCACUUGAAACUUGUUUUGAUAAACUUGUUUCUUCAUCGGAUAAGAUAUUAUUCACUUCCUUAGAUAUUGCACCUAAAUUUGGCCAACAACAAAGAGAUGAAAGUGCAGCCAUGUGUUUAAGAUUAUAGUAUGAGCUUAAGUCAGCGUUCACCUGGUCAUGUAUUUGUUUCGUGCAAGUUAUUAUGAUUUAUCCUUUGAUGUCCGGGGCUACAUCAAUGGUUGUCAUGUCCUCGUCAUGCUCCCCUCUUGAAAUGGGGUUGUCCUUGACUCUAGCUGGUCACAAAACACAAUAAGCCAGUACAAAGAAGCAACACAAAAACUAUAUGGAAUGCAUAAGUUUAGCUUCACCGUUGCCAACUUCUUCAAAUUUUUAUGAAUGUCAACAUGAUGUUUUGUUCAACUCAACAAUUCUUUCCUACUAAUAAUUCUAUGGAGUACAAACUUGUAACAAACCAUGACCAUGUCCAUGUCGACACCACAAACGGACGGUGUUCAUUUGGCGUCCGAGCAUGUUGUGGCCCAGUUCUCCACAUCGUCGGACGGUAGCGUGAUUGCGCCGGCCACCCCACCCACACGGUCGUCAUCGACCUCAAUGUCACGCCUGGGUCCGGUGGCGCCGGCCAGUCAGCCACCCGGAUGCAAAGGAAGCAGCCGUGGGCGAUUCUGAUGGCCAACUUCCCCGACGCCCGCAACCUGUUUGAUGAAACACCCUACCCGACGCUGGCGCAAGACGACCCCGACCUCAAUGCUUUCAUGGAGAACGCCAACUACGAGGGCCAUGGUCAAGCCUUCCAUCCCGAGUGCCAAGGCCAAAUCUUCGAUCCUGACGAGACCCAAAGCCAAGAUGGUCGCGACAUUGGCCAUGGCAACCAAGAAGAAGAGGUUUAUCGAUGAGCUCAUCCAAAGAGCCAAUGCACAAAAGAAGAAGCAAACCAUUCGCACGGGACCAUGCACCAAAGAUAAGGACAAGUUGAUUUGCGAGAGUUGGAAGUAAAUAGGGCAAGAUCCCAAGACCAACGUCGAGCAAAAAGGUGCCAUUUUUUGUGAGAGUUCAUACGAUCUUCCUUGAACGUAGAAAGUUUCCGCCCUACAAAUUUGCGAGCACCCGUGACAUCAACUCAAUUCAAAAGAGGUGGAGGUAUAUCCAACAAGAAUGUAACAAGUUUUGUGUCGCUCUUGAGAGCGUUGAAGCUCGUCUCGUGAGUGGCCUAGGCAUGGGCGAUGAUGAUGACAUGUACCUAGGGUAGGGUCUUAGACCUGAUCUACAUGCCCUUCCCAAGGACACCAAGAGGCCAAGGCCUACGAGGACAGAAAGAAGAUACCGACUGGAAUCAUCACAGAGUGCAACUCACUCGACAGAAGAUCCACUCGGACACCCCAAUUCCACUCGACCGUCAUUAUUCACUUGGAGUACAAGAAUCCACUCGAAGGAUAGAACGCCCAAUAUCACCUGUAGAUAGCAAUGGUCGGUCAUUCACUCCGCCACCAUAAAGGUCAUUAAACAUGGGCGUUACUAGUAACGUAUGUGGCUUUCCUCCCUCAUUGAACCCUUGCGUAACCGAGGGCUAUGAGGGGUCGACGCACUCUAUAUAAGCCACCCUCCCCUCUAGAACAAAGGUUUGCACCCCCUGUAACUCUACGCCCAAUCAACAAGCCUCUGAGGCACCGAGACGUAGUGCUAUUACCUCCUCCGAGAGGGGCCUGAACUCGUAAAACCGAGUGUACAACCUCGUCGUAGCUAGGACUCUGCCUUCUCCUAUGUACCUCAUAUCUCUACUGUUAGAUCUAUUCCGACGACAGUUGGCACCCAUCUUGGGGGCAGGCGUCUAAGCGACUUCCAAUGAGUUUGCAAUCUUUGAUCUUCGUUAACAUGGUUUUCGGUGGUGGAUUGUCCUUGAGCCGCGAGAUCCAUCUCAACACGCUCACUUUCAUCACCGACGAUUCGGCCUGGCUUCAAGAAGCCCCUCUCAACGUCGAGGCACUCCCCAUUUGCGGGGCGGCACACUUCCACGCGGGUGCCUGUGGCGUCCUCCUGCGGCAGCCGUCGACUCAGUAUCAGUCAGCUCCCAUGGCGUCUUUGCUUCCCGCUGCCCGUCGCCACAAGCGAUCCGGUUGCUCGCGGCUCCAGCGGUGGGUGAAGCACGUGGUGGCGCGUCAGUCGGCCACUCCUCAAAUCGCAGCAAUCAAUCUUGAUGAAUCUCUCUAUGGGUUGUUCGAUCUGUCGACUGGCCAUUCGGAUACUCUCACUGAGUGCGAAAGCAAUGACCCCCUGACGGAAGUCCUCAUGGUUGGUCCCCAGCUUAGCCCGCCAGGAUUUCCCCGUCGCGUGACAAGACGAGUAUUAUCCUGAAUCCUCACUACGGAGCAGAGGGAAGAGUUGCAGCGCAGAAAUGAUCAAGCUCUCCAGAACCCUAUCGCUGGGGAGACCCCCGAGGCUCGGGCCUUGGAGGUUUCUUGUGUUGCCACUCUGGUUGAGCGUGCAUGCUUGGAGAAUCUUCAGGAAGCAUUCGACGACUGCGCCCGCAGAUGUCACACCCUAGCUAGUUCAUGCAUUAGAGUGUUGCAUCAUGUCUACCCUUUCAUCAGAAACUUGAAAUGGGGAUGUCAGAACCCCCAGCCCCCUCUGAAACCAACUAGGGUUUACUAAAAACUUUUUCAAUGAACCUGAAAUGCCCUUCUAAAAUGUCCAUCAUUUUUGUCUUGGUUCAGAACCUCUGCCAAAAGUGUUGCACAAUUUUCUAGGUCAUCUUAGGGUCUUUGAAUUAAUGAUAAGUAUUUGAAUUUGGGCAUUUAAAAUUAUAUAAAAUAUUUCAAAUGCUCAAAUAUUCCUAAACUGAAAUGUUUCAUGUUGGAAAUAUUCCAACUUUGGACCAGGAGCAGUUUGGUGAUUUUAGGAGUUGCCUAGGUAUUUUUAAUAAUUCAACAAAGUUGCAGAAAAAUAGAAAAAGAAAAAAAACAGAAAGGAAGGACUUACCUGGCGCGUGCAACCCGGCCCACCUGCCGGCCCAGCCCAGCGCCGCGCUAGCGAGCUACUUGCCGGCCAGGCAGGCAGGCAAGGUGCUCGACGGCGAGCACCGCAUGGGUGCCACGCACCUGCUCGCCGCCUCGCCGCUCCACUCACCGGCUAAUGACGUGGAUCGACCCCUCUCUCUCCCCCGAACCCCCCAGACGCCCCCUCUCCUCUCCAGCUCCUCCCCUUCGCGCUCCCCAGCCAUGGCCGACGCCACCGCCGCCGCUCCAUCGUCGUAGCCGCGCUCCCCGCCGCCCGUGCUCCAUCUCGUGGUGUCCAGGAGCUCCGUCGCCGUCCACUUCGUCGAGCUAACCGAGCCCCGCAUGCUCGUGAGGCCCGAGUCCACCGCACCGACCUCGCCCGAGUUCGCCGUCGCCGGAGAUCCCCUUCAACGCCGUCGCUGCAUCAGCUCAUCCCCGACCCCGCCGGUGGCCUCUACGGGUGCUCUGUGAGCCUAGCUACCCCUCCUACCCUUCCUCUCUCGCCCCCGAGCCGUGUGGCCACCGCACGAAGAUCACCGCCGCGGAUCUCGUCGCCGACGUGCUCCCGGCCAUCCUCCGGCCACCUCACGGUGUCCAACGCACUCACCACGCUGUGUUGAGUCCAACCGUGCACUCCCCGCACCUCAUCGCACACCCUAGCCCCAAGUUCGCCUUCACCCGAACUCCGGUGACCGCCUAGGUCGUCGCCGGCGCCAACUUCAGCCACCCCGACCUCAACUCGCUCCACCAAGAGCUGCGGUUCGUCCCCAACUCCAUGUAGAUGCCUUCCGCGCCCCAUUUGGUGGCCGGAACGGCCAAAACCACUUCCGUCGCCGCGUCGGGCUCGCUGGCGGCUAAAUGCCGGUGCAGCCAUUUUGACUUUGACCACGGGUGGGCCCUAGUUGACUCUGUUGAGUCAAUGACAGGUGGGGCCCCCUUCUGCUGAUUAUCCAGAUUAGUUUAAACUAAUUUAAUAUAGUUAAUUAUCCACUAACACCCUGGACCCACGCGUCAGGUUUGACCUGGACCGGGUCUGUUGACUUGCUGAGGUCAGCAUGACCUCAUGCUGACGCAGUAAACCUUUUCUAAAAUUAAAAUAAAUCUAAAAUGAUUUAUAAAUUCCAGAAAUUGUUGCAAACUUCAAAAAUUCAUAUAAAUUCAACCGUAGCUCCAAAUCAAACAAAUUAUAUAUGAAAAAUGAUCAGAAAAAUCCAAUAUAUCCAUCUAUACUAGUUUCAUGCAUGUUUAAACAAUCUAACUUGAGGUUUAGUGCAGAACAAGAUAAAACACUUUAAAGGGCCAUUUAUGAGUUUGAAAUUUGAAUCUUUGGUUCAAAUUGAUUCAAACCCAUCUGGGUUUAGUUGCAUUAGCCCAACACACUCAUAUUGCCAUGUUUCAUGCAUGCAUCAUAUUGUCGCACAUUGUUUGGUGAUGGUUGUGUAUCGGUGUUCUUUGCGGCAGGUUCUGCCUCCGAGGAGUACCGUGAUUACCCUAGCGAAGAACCGUAUCCGUGCAUCGAUCCAUCAGGCAAGCAACCAACCAUUUGAUCAUAUUGAUACAAUCCCAUGUUCUCGCUCUUGCUCUCUUUUACUGCAUUAAGACAACGCGUUUCAAACUGCUGUGUGCUACGGUAGUUGAACCCAUUUCCUUUGCAUGACCUGUCAUUGCCACAGUAAAUAGACGAAACCCACUAGCAUGUGUAGGAAUUGAUUGAGCCAUAUGUAUGUGUUGUUCCUACCUUGCUAUGCCUGCUAUGCUUAGAGUCGUGUCAGGUCUGGUUCAUCUGGGUGAUGGGCUAGAGUGAAAUGAUCAUGUCGGUAAUGAGAGUGAUGUGGUGAACACGAUUUGGUAAAGGUAUCGAUAAGAGGCCAUGUAGGAGUACAUGGUGGGUUGUUUCAUUGAAGCCGACCUUAAGAACUGAGAUCUGUAUGCGUGAUUUAAGAUUCAGCUACUACCAUGCAUUGGGCCCUGAAAUAUGACCCCACUCGACUUCUUAUUCACCCUAGUCCUCUGUCCAGGAGUUGCAAGUAGUUUCUGGUGUUUGUAGCUUACUGGAGGCCGUGGACAGCGCUGACCCGCGGGGUGGGCUGUGAUGCGGUAGGUACGUGGCACGGUGUAUCGAAUACCCGUUAGGUAUCUCGGGAACCCUGUACACAUCGUUCGGGGCCGUAUGGGAAACCUCGGCCGGACUCCCUGCGGAUGGAACCUGGAUAGGCAAUAAACAUGGACUAGAGACUUAGGUGUUUAGGUAGGUCGUGGUCUACACCCACGUCGGCUUUCGCUUGAAGUCUGCCGAGCACAUGUCGUGUGCAGACGCUAAGUGGUGGAAACAUGUAUGAAGAAGUACCCCCUGCAGGGUUAACAUGAUCUAUUCGAAUAGCCACGUCCGCGGUAAAGGACUACUUGGUUGCUUAUACAGUUCAUAGACAAGUGAAUGGAUACUACUAAAAAUCUCAAGAUAAGCGUGAGUGCCGAGGAUGGCUCUAGGAUGACGGAGGUGGAUCCUCGGUGGUGUAUUGAAGUGGUGAGUAGUGGACUCGUGUGCGCAAAACCAUUUCAAGUUGGAGUCUCGUAGGAUAGCUUAGCCAAGAGUCAAAGCUGGCUUGCUGCAAUAACUCCACCAACCCUUCUUGAUAAUGUGCAUGUAUGUAGGAUCUGACGUAAGUCUUGCUGGGUACCUUUGUACUCAUGUUGCUAUAAUUUACAUUUUACAGAAGACGCUGCAACCCCUUCUGAUGGGUUCUUCGUAGACGUUGACAUCGACGAGUAGACUAAGGCCCAGGUGGUAAUCCUGAGCUUGUGAAGGUCCACGUAGCAUAGCUAGGCUUUCCAAGCCUCUUUUAUUACUAGUUGUCUGUACUCAGACAAGUUACUUCCGCUGCUGGUUUGUAUGACUGUAUGACUUGAAUGUGGGUCGUGUGACCCGCACUUGUAUGUAUGUUAUGUAUGGCUCUCUGAGCCUUUAAAUAAAGUACUUGUGUCGUAGAGUCAUGUUGUGAUGCCUUGUUGUAUUUGCACAUAUCGAGCAUAUUGUGUGUAUGAUUGAAAUGCUUGGUAUGUGUGGGAUCUGACUAUCUAGUUGUUUAUCUUUAGUAGCCUCUCUUACCGGGAAAUGUCUCCUAGUGUUUUCAUUGAGCCAUGGUAGCUUGCUACUGCUCCGGAACACUUAGGCUGGCCGGCAUGUGUCCUUCUUCGUUCCUAUGUCUGUCCCUUCGGGGAAAUGUCACGCAUUGAGUACCGGAGCCCUGUUAGCCCGCUACAGCCCGGUUUACCGGAGUCCUGCUAGCCCAGUGCUACAGCCCGGACCCACUUGCUGAUGACCGACACGUUCGAUGCUGGGUCAUGGAUGCCUGUCCCUGUAAGUCUGUGCCACUUUGGGUUUACGACUAGUCAUGUCAGCCCGGGCUCCUUAUCAUAUGGAUGCUAGCGACAUCAUCAUAUACGUGAGCCAAAAGGCGCAAACGGUCCCGGGCAAAGGUAAGGCGACACCCGUGGGAAUACCGUGCGUGAGGCCGCAAAGUGAUAUGAGGUGUUACAGGCUAGAUCUAUGUGACAUUGAGUCGGGGUCCUGACAGCAGACAUAUCCCAAGUUCCAGUUAAUGGCAGCGGCAAUUGUUUAUGACUGGACCUCAGGAUGAAUGUCAGGUAUACCGUACCCCAAUUCAAAAUAUUGCAGCAGCUGUGCGUAUUGCAGAUUUGAUCCAGCCGUCCCGUUCCAAGGAUGGUAGAGGCUUACAGCAGAUUCGGGCACUGCUCAGGGUGGCCGAGGAACAAAACUCAGUUGUUUUCCAGUCACGUAAUAGGAUUCACAGCAGGUCUGUCAUGGCAGACAUAGUUCAGCGGGCACACAGCCCAAGAUCGCCCCUGCGGCAUGAAGAUCAUGGUUAUCGCCAGGAUCAGUACCUGGGUCGAGGCCAAGGGAAGUUUGACCCUCGAUACCACCGUGAAGACCACUGUCGAGUUCCUACGCCCCCUCGUAUGUGCCCCGGCGGUAUGAUGACAGGCGCCCGUACAGCGACAAGCGGAGGAUCCCUGUCGACCCUCGAGAGCCCGAGUUUGAUGCAAAGUCAGUCCUUGUGCAUGGUCUGGUUGACAGAGGCAGAGCUAACAGAGAAGGUUUGGACAAAGAUUACCCAAGUGGGAGCAGAGCGUUCGUCUCUGGGCCCAAGUGUUUCGGCAGAUGCUUGAAGGUUGAAAGUACAAGUGCUUCCUGGGUGAUUUUGGUAAUUACUGUCAACAUAUCUCUUGUUGGACUAAUACUUCUAUCUAGUAUGUUUUAGAUGAGUUCAACAGUGGAGUGGCAGGGCAAGAGGAUGUGGAACUCCUUCAUGAUGUUAAGGAUACAUAUUGGCAAAAGCUCAAGGCUCUUCAUUUUCUAUUUUAGUGAUCCAAGAUCACAUCGAGUCCAUAGGAAAGCCAAUACUAUUAAAAGGGGAUGAGGUGUUGCUUAAUGGCUUCCUUGCUCAAAGUUCUUAGUGAUAUGCUCCAAAGUCCUCAACCACUUUUUCAUUUCCACAUAUGUUCAAAACCUAAAGUCAAACUCGGCCCCACUGAUUUGAUCUAUCUAGCGCCACCGAGUUCUUUGACAUAGCCACUGCCAGAAACCCUAAUCAGUUCGGUCUUACAGAUGGGACCUCGGUCUCACCGAGAUGGCCCUGCAAACUCUCUGUUACCUAUUCUGGUUAUUUUGGUCUCACCGAUAUGCAGUCGGUCCCAUCGAGUUUACUUGACCAAGUCUCUAUUUGCUUAUUGCUGAAAUCGGUCUCACCGAGAUGAGGUUUUGCCCUAACCCUAGCACAUCGAUCUCGCCGAGUUGACCUUGUCGGUCCCACUGAAAACUCUAACGUUCACAUUUUGAACCAUAUCGGUCUGACCGAGUUUCACUAUUCAGUCCCACUGAGUUUGGUAAAUUGAGAUUUUCUAUGGAGGUUAUGUAUACCCCUCCACCCCUUUCUCCAUUAGAGAGAGAGAGAGAGAGCCAUCAGAACGUGCCUACACUUCCACUACUCAUUUUCUGAGAGAGAACCACCUACUCAUAUGUUGAGACCAAGACAUUCUAAUCCAACCACAAGAAUCUUGAUCUCUAGCCUUCCCCAAGUUGCUUUCCACUCAAAUCAUCUUUCCACCAUAUCCAAAUCUGUGUGAGAGAGAGUUGAGUGUUGGGGAGACUAUCAUUUGAAGCACAAGAGCAAGGAGUUCAUCAUCAACACACCAUCUAUUACCUUUUGGAGAGUGAAAGUGCAACUAGUCCUGGGUGGUUUUGGUAAUGAUUUACAACAUAUAGCUCAUUGAACUAAUGCCAUUUCAAGAUAAAUAUUUCAGGAAAGUUCAAUGAUUGGCAUGGCAUGGAUAAGGAAUGUGGACCCCUCAAAAUGCUAAGGACAAAAGAUUGACUCAAGCUCUAAAGUCCAAGACUCUACAUUUUCCAUUUUAGUGAUCCAAGAUCACAUUGAGUCUAUAGGAAAGCCAAUACUAUUAAAAGGGGAUGAGGUGUUUCUUAAUGGCUUGCUUGCUCAAAAUGCUUAGUGAUAUGCUCCAAAUCCCUCAACCACUUUCUCAUAUCCACAUAUGUCCCAAACCAAAAGUCAAACUCGGCCCCACCGAUUUGAUCCAUCCGGCGCCACCGAGUUCAUUUGACAUAGCCACUACUAGAAACCCUAGUCACUUCGGUCUCACCGAUAGGGAUCUCGGUCUCAUCGAGAUGGGAUUGCAAACUCUCUGUUUCCCUUCGUAACAUUUUGGUCUAACCGAGAUGAGCAAUCAGUCCCUCCGAGUCUGCAAUGCAAACUCCCUAUUUCCUUUUCGUAACGCUUCGGUCCCACCGAGACGAGCGAAUCGGUCCCACCGAGUUUGCCUGACCAACUCUCUGGUUAGCUUAUUACCAAAGUCGUUCCAACCGAGUUUGUGUAAUUGGUCCAACCGAGAUUACGUUAUGCCCUAACCCUAAUGAUAUCGGUCCCACCGAGUUGACAUGUCGGUCCCAGCAAAAUUGCCUAAUGGUCACAUUAUGUACUGAAUCGAUCAGACCGAGUUUUCUGAUUCGGUCCCACCGAGUUUGGUAUAUUGUGUGUAACGGUCAGAUUUUGUGUGGAGGCUAUAUAUGCCCCUCCACCCUCUCCUCAUUCAGGGGGAAGCCAUCAGAAUGUGCCUACACUUCCACUACCCAUUUUCUGAGAGAGAGCCACCUACUCAUGUGUUGAGACCAAGAUAUUCCAUUCCUACCAUAUGAAUCUUGAUCUCUAGCCUUCCCCAAGUUGCUUUCCACUCAAAUCAGCUUUCCACCAAAUCCAAUCCUAUAAGAAUGAGUUGAGUGUUGGGGAGACUAUCAUUUGAAGCACAACAGCAAGGAGUUCAUCAUCAACACACCAUCCAUUACCUUUUGGAGAGUGGUGUCUCCUAGAUUGGUUAGGUGUCACUUGGGAGCCUCCAACAAGAUUGUGGAGUUGAACCAAGGAGUUUGUAAGGGCAAGGAGAUCGCCUACUUCAUGAAGAUCUAUCCUAGUGAGGGAAGUCCUUCGUGGACGAUGGCCAUGGUGGGAUAGACUCGCGCAGCCAUUACCCUUCGUGGGUUGAAGUGUCCAUCAACGUGGAUGUACGAUAGCACCACCUAUCGGAACCACACCAAAAACAUCUGUGUCUCCUAUUGCGUUUGCAUUCUCCAAACCCUUCCCUUUACAUUCUUGCAAGUUGCAUGCUUUAGUUUCUGCUGCUUAUAUACUCUUUGCAUGCUUUCUUGAAUUGUGUUAAGAUUGCUUGACUUGUGCUAAGUUGUUAAAAUCUGCCAAGAACUAAAAUUGGGGAAAGGUUAAGUUUUUAUUUUGUCAAGUAGUCUAAUCACCCCCUAGACAUACUUUCGAUCCUACAAUUGGUAUCAGAGCAUUGGUCUCCAUUUGCCUUGAUUUCCAUAGCUUUUGGUGAUCAUAACCUUGGUUUCACAACCUAGGAGAGUAUGGCGUCUAGCGAGGGAAAUUACCACCGUAGAGAUCCUUACUUUGAUGCUACUAAUUUUGCUAGUUGGAAGCAUAAGAUGAAAAUGCAUAUUUUUGGACAUAACCCCACCGUUUGGGCUAUUGUGUGUAUUGGCUUGCAAGGUGAAUUCUUCGAUGGGAGAGAACCAAACCAUGAAGCAACAACGGAAGAGUUGAAGAUGCUGCAAUACAACGCCCAAGCUUGUGAUAUCCUCUUCAAUGGAUUAUGCCCCGAAGAAUGCAACAAAAUUAGCCGUCUUGAGAAUGCAAAGGAAAUUUGGGAUACUUUGAUUGAUAUGCACGAAGGUACCGACUCCGUCAAGGAAUCCAAAUUGGAUGUGCUUCAAAGUCAACUUGACAAGUUCAAAAUGAAGGAUGGUGAAGGUGUCGCUGAAAUGUACUCUAGGCUUGCUCUCAUCACAAAUGAGAUUGCCGGCUUAGGAAGUGAAGAGAUGACCGACAAAUUCAUCAUCAAGAAGAUCCUAAGAGCCUUGGAUGGAAAAUAUGAUACCGUGUGCACAUUGAUCCAAAUGAUGCCCAGUUACAAAGAUCUCAAUCCAUUGGAAGUCAUUGGAAGAAUUAUUGCUCAUGAGAUGUCACUCAAGGAUAAGGAAGAGCUUCACAACAAGUCAAGUGGUGCUUACAAAGCCUCAUGUGAUGCUCCUACUUCAUCAAGUGAGAAACAAACCAUCAAUGAGGAAUUGAGCCUAAUGGUGAAAAACUUCAACAAGUUCUACAAGAGUAGAAGCAAGGAAAGAAGUUCCAAGUCAAGGUCCUACAAUGACAAAAGAUCUUCGAGUCAUGAAUGUAAUUGCUACAACUUUGGAAGACCCGGACACUAUUCCAAUGAGUGUACGGCUCCUUACAAAAGGAGAGAAGAUUCACCCAAAAGAAGAAGUAGAAGAGAAGAAUUGCCACCAAGAGAGAGGAGGAGUAGAGAUGAUCACUAUGAACGAAGAACCUCCCUGAUAAGCAAGGAUUUGGAAAGGAAGGUCAAAUCAUCAAAGAGCUACACAAAGAGAAGACAUCAAGCUCAUGUUGGUGAAUGGGUAUCCGGCUCCGACUCCGACCAUCACUCCGAGAGAAGCUAUCACUCCGAUUCCGAAUAUACUCAAGAUGAAGGUGUUGCCGGUCUAGCACUCGUGUCAACCAACUCCUACGACAUAUUUGACUCACCAAAUGAAGGAAUUGGAAGAUGUUUCAUGUCUAAAGGCCCAAAGGUAUCACACACCGAGUAUGCUGAUUUCAAUAGUCAUGAAGAUGACUUGUUAAGUGAUGAUGGUUUACUUGUUGACAACUCUAGUGAUGAAUACUAUGAUAAAAUGUCAAUCAAUCAUGCUAAUCAAGAUAAAACGAAUGACAAUGAUAAGGAGAAGAUUGAGCGUCUAACUAAAGAACUAAAUACUCUUAAGUGAGGUCAUGAAACUACCUUGGAAGGUCAUCGAGAACUUUUAAAGACUCAUGAGAAGUUACGCUUUGAAAAGCAAAACCUUGAGCAAGAGCAUGAGUUUUUAAAGGCAAUCAAUGUUGGGGAACGUAGCAGAAAUUCAAAAUUUCCCUAUGUGUCACCAAGAUCUAUCUAUGGAGAAACCAGCAAUGAGGGGAAGGAGAGUGCAUCUACAUACCCUUGUAGAUUGCUAAGCGGAAGCGUUCAAGAGAACGGGGUUGAAGGAGUCGUACUCGUCGUGAUCCAAAUCACCGGAGAUCCUAGUGCCGAACGGACGGCACCUCCGCGUUCAACACACGUACAGCCCGGUGACGUCUCCCAUGCCUUGAUCCAGCAAGGAGAGAGGGAGAGGUUGAGGAAGACUCCAUCCAGCAGCAGCACAACGGCGUGGUGGUGAUGGAGGAGCGUGGCAAUCCUGCAGGGCUUCGCCAAGCACCGCGGGAGAGGAGAAAGGAGAGAGGUAGGGCUGCGCCAGGGAGAGGUCAAAACUCAUGUGUUGGCAGCCCUCAAGACCUCAACUAUAUAUAGGGGAGAGGGAGGGGGUGCGCCCCCUCUAGGGUUUCCACCCCAAGGGGUGCGGCUGCGCCCAAUCCCAUCUAGGGUGGCGGCCAAGGGGGGAGAGGGGAAACUUGCCCCCCAAGUUAGGUGGGUGCGCCCCCUCCCCCAACCCUAGGCGCCUUGGGCCCUUGUGGGGGGGGGGCGCACCAGCCCACCUGGGGAUAGUCCCCUCCCACACUUGGCCCAUGCAGCCCUCCGGGGCCGGUGGCCCCACUUGGUGGACCCCCGGGACCGUCCCGGUGGUCCCGGUACGUUACCGAUAAAACCCGAAACUUUUCCGGUGACCAAAACAGGACUUCCCAUAUAUAAAUCUUUACCUCUGGACCAUUCCGGAACUCCUCGUGACGUCCGGGAUCUCAUCCGGGACUCCGAACAACAUUCGGUAACCACAUACAAACUUCCUUUAUAACCCUAGCGUCAUCGAACCUUAAGUGUGUAGACCCUACGGGUUCGGGAAUCAUGUAGACAUGACCGAGACGUUCUCCGGUCAAUAACCAACAGCGAGAUCUGGAUACCCAUGUUGGAUCCCACAUGUUCCACGAUGAUCUCAUCGGAUGAACCACGAUGUCAAGAACUCAAUCGAUCCUGUAUACAAUUCCCUUUGUCUAACGGUAUUGUACUUGCCCGAGAUUCGAUCAUCGGUAUACCGAUACCUUGUUCAAUCUCGUUACCGGCAAGUCUCUUUACUCGUUCCGUAACACAUCAUCCCAUGAUCAACCCCUUGGUCACACUGUGCACAUUAUGAUGAUGUCCUACCGAGUGGGCCCAGAGAUACCUCUCCGUUAACCGGAGUGACAAAUCCCAGUCUCGAUUUGUGCCAACCCAACAGACACUUUCGGAGAUACCUGUAGUGCACCUUUAUAGCAACCCAGUUAUGUUGUGACGUUUGGUACACCCAAAGCAUUCCUACGGUAUCCGGGAGUUGCACAAUCUCAUGGUCUAAGGAAAUGAUACUUGACAUUUAGAAAAGCUUUAGCAUACGAACUACGAUCUUUGUGCUAGCCUUAGGAUUGGGUCUUGUCCAUCACAUCAUUCCCUAAUGAUGUUAUCCCGUUAUCAACGACAUCCAAUGUCCAUGGUCAGGAAACCGUAACCAUCUAUUGGUCAACGAGCUAGUCAACUAGAGGCUUACUAGGGACAUGGUGUUGUCUAUGUACCCACACAUGUAUCUGAGUUUCCUAUCAAUACAAUUAUAGCAUGGAUAAUAAACGAUUAUCAUGAACAAGGAAAUAUAAUAAUAACUAAUUUAUUAUUGCCUCUAGGGCAUAUUUCCAACAGUCUCCCACUUGCACUAGAGUCAAUAAUCUAGUUCACAUCGCCAUGUGAUUAGCACUGAUAGGUCACAUCGCCAUGUGACCAACAUCCAAAGAGUUUACUAGUGUCUAAACUAGUUCACAUCACCAUGUGAUUAAGAAUCAAUGAGUUUUGGGGUUUGAUCAUGUUUUGCUUGUGAGAGAGGUUUUAGUCAACGGGUCUGCAACAUUCAGAUCCGUAUGUAUUUCGCAAAUUCUCUAUGUCAUAUUGUAAAUGUUGCUUCCGCGCUCCACUUGGAGCUAUUCCAAAUGGUUGCUCCACUAUACGUAUCCGGUUUGCUACUCAGAGUCAUUCGGAUAGGUGUUAAAGCUUGCAUCGACGUAACCCUUUACGCUGAACUCUUUAUCACCUCCAUAAUCGAGAAACAUGUCCUUAUUUACUCCAAGGACAAUUUUCGACCGCUGUCCAAUGAUCCAUUCCUGGAUCAUUCUUGUACCCCUUGACUGACUCAUGGCAAGGCACACUUCCGGUGCAGUACACAGCAUAGCAUACUAUAGAGCCUACGCCUAAAGCAUAGGGGACAACCUUCGUCCUUUCUCUCUUUUCUGCCGUGGUCGAGCUUUAAGUAUUAACUUCAUACCUUACAUUUCAGGCAAGAACUCCUUCUUUGACUGAUCCAUCUUGAACACCUUCAAGAUCAUGUCAAGGUAUAUGCUCAUUUGAAAGUACCAUUAAGCGGUUUUGAUCUAGCCUCAUAGAUCUUGAUGCUCAAUGUUCAAGUAGCUUAAUCCAGGUUUUCACUUGAAAAACACUUUUCAAAUAACCCUAUAUGCUUUACAGAAAAUUCUACAUCAUUUCUGAUCAUCAAUAUGUCAACGACAUAUACUCAUCAGAAAUUCUAUAGUGCUCCCACUCACUUCUUUGGAAAUACAAGUUUCUCACAAACUUUGUAUAAACCCAAAAUCUUUGAUCAUUUCAUCAAAGCAUAUAUUCCAACCCUGAGAUGCUUACUCCAGUCCUUAGAAGGACCGCUGGAGCCAGCAUACCUUUUAGCAUCCUUAGGAUCGACAAAAACUUUCUGAUUGUAUCACAUACAACCUUUCCUUACAAAAAUUGGUAAGGAAACUCGUUUUUGACAUCCAUCUGCCAGAUUUCAUAAAUGCAGCUAAUGCUAACAUGAUUCCGACGGACUUAAGCUUCGCUACGGAUGAGAAAAUCUCAUCGUAGUCUACUUCCUUGAACUUGUGAAAACUCUUCGCCACAAGUCGAGCUUCAUAGACGGUGACAUCACCGUCCAAGUCCGUCUUCUUCUUAAAGAUCCAUUUAUCUCAAUGGCUUGCCGAUCAUUGGGCAAGUCCACCAAAGUCCAUGCUUUGUUCUGAUACAUGGAUCCUAUCUCGGAUUUCAUGGCUUCUAACCAUUUGCCGGAAUAUGGUCCCACCAUCGCUUCUCCAUAGCUCGUAGGUUCAUUGUUGUCCAGCAACAUGACCUUCAAGACAGGAUUACUGUACCACUCUGAAGUAGUACGCAUCCUUGUCACCCUACGAGGUACGGUAGUGACUUGAUCCAAAACUUCAUGAUCACUAUCAUAAGCUUCUACUUCAAUUGGUGUAGGUGCCACAGGAACAACUUCCUGUGCCCUGCUACACACUAGUUGAAGUGAUGGUUCAAUAACCUCAUCAAGUCUCCACCAUCCUCCCACUCAAUUUUCGAGACAAACUUUUCUCGAGAAAGGACCCGAUUUAAGAAACAAUCCCUAUUGCUUUCGGAUCUGAAUUAGGAGGUAUACCCAACUGUUUUGGGUGUCCUAUGAAGAUGCAUUUUAUCUGCUUUGGUUUCGAGCUUAUCAACCUGAAACUUUUUCACAUAAGUAUCGCAGCCCCAAACUUUUAAGAAACGACAACUUAGGUUUCUCUAAACCAUAGUUCAUACGGUGUCAUCUCAACGGAAUUACGUGGCGCCCUAUUUAAAGUGAAUGCAGUUGUCUCUAAUGCCUAACCCAUGAACGAUAGUGGUAAUUUGAUAAGAGACAUCAUGGUACGCACCAUAUCCAAUAGGGUGCAACUAUGAUGUUCGGACACACCAUCACACUAUGGUGUUCCAGGCGGUAUUAAUUGUGAAACAAUUUCCAUAGUGUCUUAAUUGCGUGCCAAAGCUUGUAACUCAGAUACUCAUCUCUAUGAUCAUAUCAUAGACACUUUAUCCUCUUGUCACAAUGAUCUUUAACUUCACUCUGAAAUUACUUGAACCAUUCAAUAAUUCAGACUUGUGUUUCAUCAAGUAAAUAUACUCAACAUCUACUCGAAUCAUCUGUGAAGUCAGAACAUAACGAUAUGCACUCCAUUUCUCAGCACUCAUUGGACUGCACACAUCAAAAUGUGUUACUUCCAACAGGUUGCUACCUUGUUCCAUCUUACUGAAACCAAGGCUUUUCAGUCACUUUGCCCAUGUGGUAUGAUUUGCAUAUCUCAAGUGAGUCCAAACGAUCCAUCUGCAUGGAGUUUCUUCAUGCGUAUACACCAAUAGACAUGGUUUGCAUGUCUCAAACUUUUCAAAAACGAGUGAGUCCAAAGAUCCAUCAACAUGGAGCUUCUUCAUGCGUAUUAUACCAAUAUGACUUACAUGGCAGUGCCACAAGUAAGUGGUACUAUCAUUACUAUCUUAUAUCUUUUGGCAUGAAAAUGUGUAUCACUACGAUCGAGAUUCAAUAAACCAUUCCUUUAGGUGCAAGACCAUCGAAGGUAUUAUUCAAAUAAACAGAGUAACCAUUAUUCUCCUUAAACGAAUAACCGUAUUGUGAUAGACAUAAUCCAAUCAUGUCCAUGCUCAACGCAAACACCAAAUAACAAUUAUUUAGGUUUAACACCAAUCUCGAUGGUAGAGGGAGCGUGCGAUAUUUGAUCACAUCAACCUUGGAAACACUUCCAACACAUAUCAUCAGCUCACCUUUAGCUAGUCUCCGUUUAUUCCGUAGCUUUUAUUUCGAGUUACUAACACUUAGCAACCGAACCGGUAUCUAAUACCCUGCUGCUACUAGGAGUACUAGUAAAGUACACAUUAACAUAAUGUAUAUCCAAUAUACUUCUAUCGACCUUGCCAGCCUUCUCAUCUACCAAGUAUCUAGGGUAAUUCUGCUCCAAUGGCUGUUCCGCUUAUUACAGAAGCACUUAGUCUCGGGUUUGGGUUCAACCUUGGGUUUCUUCACUAGAGCAGCAGCUGAUUUGCUGUUUCAUGAAGUAUCCCUUAUUACCCUUGCCCUUCUUGAAACUAGUGGUUUCACCAACCAUCAACAAUUGAUGCUCCUUCUUGAUUUCUACUUUCGCGGCGUCAAACAUCGUGAAUACCUCAAGGAUCAUCAUAUCUAUCCCUGAUAUGUUAUAGUUCAUCACGAAGCUCUACCAGCUUGGUGGCAAUGACUUUGGAGAAACAUCACUAUCUCAUCUGGAAGAUCAACUCCCACUCGAUUAAAGUGAUUGUUGUACUCAGACAAUCUGAGCACAAGCUCAACGAUUGAGCUUUUCUCCCUUAGUUUGCAGGCUAAGAAAAUCGUUGGAGGUCUUAUACCUCUUGACGUGGGCACGAGCCUAAAAUCCCAAUUUCAGCCCUCGAAACAUCUCAUAUGUUCCGUGACGUUUCGAAAACGUCUUUGGUGCCUCAACUCUAAACCUUUUAACUGAACUAUCACGUAGUUAUCAAAACGUGUAUGUCCGAUGUUCGUAACAUCCACAAAUGACGUUUGGGGUACUGCACACUGAGCGGUGCAUUAAGGACAUAAGCUUUCUACUGUUCGCAUAAUCGCUACUGGCAACUUUCAACUAUAUUUUCUCUAGGAACAUAUCUAAAUAGUGGAACUAAAACGCGAGCUUACGACAUAAUUUGCAAAGAUCUUUUGACUAUGUUCAGGAUAAUUAAGUUCAUCUCAUGAACUCCCACUCAGAUAGACAUCCCUCUAGUCAUCUAAGUGAUUACAUGAUCCGGGUCAACUAGGCCAUGUCCGAUCAUCACGUGAGACGGACUAGUCAUCAUCGGUGAACAUCUUCAUGUUGAUCGUAUCUACUAUACGACUCAUGGUCGACCUUUCGGUCUCUUGUGUUCCGAGGCCAUGUCUGUACAUGCUAGCCUCGUCAAGUCAACCUAAGUGUUUCGCGUGUGUAAAUCUGGCUUACACCCGUUGUAUGUGAAUGUAAGAAUCUAUCACACCCGAUCAUCACGUGGUGCUUCGAAACGACGAACUUUCGCAACGGUGCACAGUUAGGGGGAACACUUUCUUGAAAUUUUAAUGAGGGAUCAUCUUAUUUACUACCGUCGUUCUAAGCAAAUAAGAUGUAUAAACAUGAUAAACAUCACAUGCAAUCAAAUAGUGACAUGAUAUGGACAAUAUCAUUUUGCUCCUUUUGAUCUCCAUCUUCGGGCUCCAUGAUCAUCAUCGUCACCGGCAUGACACCAUGAUCUCUAUCAUCAUGAUCUCCAUCAUCGUGUCUUCAUGAAGUUGUCUCGCCAACUAUUACUUCUACUACUAUGGCUAUCGGUUAGCAAUAAAGUAAAUUAAUUACAUGGCGUUGUUUUAAUGACACGCAGGUCAUACAAUAAAUUAAGACAACUCCUAUGGUUCCUGCCGGUUGUCAUACUCAUCGACAUGCAAGUCGUGAUUCCUAUUACAAUAACAUGAUCAAUCUCAUACAUCACAUAUAUCAUUCAUCACAUUCUUUUGGCCAUAUCACAUCACAUAGCAUACCCAGCAAAAACAAGUUAGACGUCCUCUAAUUGUUGUUUGCAUGUUUUACGUGGCUGCUAUGGGUUUCUAGCAAGAACGUUUCUUACCUAUGCAAAAACCACAACGUGAUAUGUCAAUUGCUAUUUACCCUUCAUAAGGACCCUUUUCACCGAAUCUGUUCCGACUAAAGUGGGAGAGACUGGCACCCGCUAGCCACCUUAUGCACCAAGUGCAUGUCAGUCUGUGGAACCUGUCUCACAUAGGUGUACGUGUAUGGUCGGUCCGGGCCGCUUCAUCCCACAAUACCGUCGAAACAAGAUUGGACUAGUAACGGUAAGCAUAAUGAACAAAAUCAACGGCCACAACUACUUUGUGUUCUACUCGUGCAAAGAAUCUACACAAUAGACCUAGCUCAUGAUGCCACUGUUGGGGAACGUAGCAUAAAUUCAAAAUUUUCCUACGUGUCACCAAGAUCUAUCUAUGGAGAAACCAACAACGAGGGGAAGGAGAGUGCAUCUACAUACCGUUGUAGAUCGCUAAGCGGAAGCUUUCAAGAGAACGGGGUUCAAGGAGUCAUACUCGUCGUGAUCCAAAUCACCGGAGAUCCUAGUGCCGAACGGACGGCACCUCCGCGUUCAACACACGUACAGCCCGGUGACGUCUCGCAUGCCUUGAUCCAGCAAGGAGAGAGGGAGAGGUUGAGGAAGACUCCAUCCACCAGCAGCACAAUGGCGUGGUGGUGAUGGAGGAGCCUGGCAAUCCUGCAGGGCUUCGCCAAGCACCGCGGGAGAGGAGAAAGGAGAGAGGUAGGGCUGCGCCAGGGAGAGGUCAAAACUCAUGUGUUGGCAGCCCUCAAGACCUCAACUAUAUAUAGGGGAGAGGGAGGGGGUGCGCCCCCUCUAGGGUUUCCACCCCAAGGGGUGCGGCUGCCCCCAAUCACUAGUAGAAAACAGGGCUUUCGUCCAGGCCAGUUUAGCCCAUUAGUCCCGGUUCAAUCCAGAACCGGGACCAAUGGAGCUAUUUGCCCCGGUUCGUGAGCCCAGGGGGCUGGCCGGGCCACGUGGGCCAUUGGUCCCGGUUCGUCCGGACCUUUUGGUCCCGGUUGGUGGGACGAACCGGGACCAAUGGUCCUGGCUCCUGGCCCACCACUAUUGGUCCCGGUUGGUGGCAUGAACCGGGACCAAAAGGGUUACCUUUAGUCCCGGUUUAUGCCACCAACCGGGACUAAAGGGUUGGCCCUCGUUGCACCCAGCUUUUAGUCCCACCUCGCCAACAGAAGGGCGCCCACACCUGUUUAUAAGCCCGUCCCUCUCUCUGUUGUUGAUCUCCUCUCAAAGUGAAAAUAGAUGCACCUAUAGAGGAAAUUGGACCUAAAUUUAUAAAUAAAAAUUGAUUAUGAAUUUAUGUUUAAUUUUCUCUAUAAGUGCAUCUAUGUUCACUAACAGAGAAGUUUUUAUUUUUUGUGACCUAAAAGAAAAAAGAAAUCACCAAAAAACUGUAAGUAUUUAUUUCUAAGUAGAACUGAAAAAAUAAUGGCACUAGUAAAGUUAAUCACAAACUUCAAAUUCACACAAAUUUCAAAGAAUUCAAUUUAACUAUUCACACAAAUUUCAAAGAAUUAAAAAAUAAAGCAAAAAACCAAAAGAAAAUAAUUAAUGCAGAAAACAAAACCAAAAAACUGGAAAAAACUAAAAAUAGCAAUAAUAAGUAUUUUAUUGUAAGUAGAAACAAAAUAAAAUGAAUAAAGCAACAAAGAAAACAAAAAAAGAGUUUCCAAAUUUGAAAACUAAUGGCAGUAACAGAAAGUUUAUAAUUUUUCUAAAACUAAAAGCAAAAAGAAUUAAAAAAUAAAGCAAAAAACAAAAGAAAAUAAAUAAUGCAGAAAACAGAACAAAANNNNNNNNNNNNNNNNNNNNNNNNNNNNNNNNNNNNNNNNNNNNNNNNNNNNNNNNNNNNNNNNNNNNNNNNNNNNNNNNNNNNNNNNNNNNNNNNNNNNNNNNNNNNNNNNNNNNNNNNNNNNNNNNNNNNNNNNNNNNNNNNNNNNNNNNNNNNNNNNNNNNNNNNNNNNNNNNNNNNNNNNNNNNNNNNNNNNNNNNNNNNNNNNNNNNNNNNNNNNNNNNNNNNNNNNNNNNNNNNNNNNNNNNNNNNNNNNNNNNNNNNNNNNNNNNNNNNNNNNNNNNNNNNNNNNNNNNNNNNNNNNNNNNNNNNNNNNNNNNNAAUUAAAAAAUAAAGAAAAAAACAACAAAAACUAAAUAAUGCAGAAAACAGAACAAAAAACUGAAAAAAAAUAAAAAUAGCAACAAUAAGUAUUUUGUUGUAAGUAGAAACAAAAUAAAAGAAAUAAAGCAACAAAGAAAACAAAAAAAGAGUUUUCAGAUUUGAAAACUAAUGGCACUAACAGAAAAAUAAACCAAAACCAAAAUAAACUAAAUAAAGCAACAAAUAAAACAAAAAAAC